RNAcentral lists this ribosomal RNA (255 nucleotides) under uncultured bacterium. RNAcentral describes it as "partial 16S ribosomal RNA". It matches the Rfam family "Bacterial small subunit ribosomal RNA", at positions 524 to 776 of the family's 1533-position model. The record is from RNAcentral.
UACGGAGGGUGCGAGCGUUGUCCGGAAUCACUGGGCGUAAAGGGCGCGUAGGUGGCGCGGGCAGUCAACGGUGAAAGUUCGGGGCUCAACCCUGAAUCGGCCGUCGAUACUCCCGGGCUUGAGCACUGUAGAGGCAGAUGGAAUUCCGGGGUGUAGCGGUGGAAUGCGCAGAUAUCAGGAGGAACACCGGUGGCGAAGGCGGGUCUCUGGGCAGUGAACUGACGCUGAGGAGCGAAAGCGUGGGGAGCGAACAGG